RNAcentral lists this ribosomal RNA (94 nucleotides) under Clostridium perfringens. The record is from RNAcentral. Lineage: Bacteria; Bacillati; Bacillota; Clostridia; Eubacteriales; Clostridiaceae.
GGUAACACCCGUUCCCAUUCCGAACACGACGGUUAAGCCUUUAGAAGCCGAUGGUACUGCACGGGAGACUGUGUGGGAGAGUAGGUGGUCGCCA